RNAcentral lists this ribosomal RNA (380 nucleotides) under Paenibacillus xerothermodurans. Its description in RNAcentral is "bacterial SSU rRNA". It matches the Rfam family "Bacterial small subunit ribosomal RNA", at positions 282 to 602 of the family's 1533-position model. Lineage: Bacteria; Bacillati; Bacillota; Bacilli; Caryophanales; Paenibacillaceae. The record is from RNAcentral.
CGUAGCCGACCUGAGAGGGUGAUCGGCCACACUGGGACUGAGACACGGCCCAGACUCCUACGGGAGGCAGCAGUAGGGAAUCUUCCGCAAUGGACGCAAGUCUGACGGAGCAACGCCGCGUGAGUGAUGAAGGUAACCUGCAUCUUCACAGGUAUUAAAAUUUCACCGGAUCUCUCGUUGAGACAGCGCCCAAGUCGUUACGCCAUUCGUGCGGGUCAGAAUUUACCUGACGUAACUGCCCUUAAGGUGACGGUACCUGAGAAGAAAGCCCCGGCUAACUACGUGCCAGCAGCCGCGGUAAUACGUAGGGGGCAAGCGUUGUCCGGAAUUAUUGGGCGUAAAGCGCGCGCAGGCGGUGAUUUAAGUUUGGUGUUUAAUCC